AAAAAACUAUAAAAUGCCAGAGGACCACAUGUGGACACUCCCCACCAGAGUUCAUACACACAGUUUAGACACCCCACAAGCCAUCAUUACUAACUUAGCCCUUUUCUUCAGCAUAUCAUUUAACAAUGACUUCAAUAUUCCAGCUCUAAAACAAUACUCAAUUAAAACCAUAGUUAUGGCCAUUUUACUUUGAGCUACUCAAGGGGUAAUAAGGCAUUUUGUGGAGUACUGAAUGCAAAGCUGCAUUUCAUUG
Non-coding RNA from Pelobates cultripes (western spadefoot toad), 253 nucleotides. NCBI's taxonomy places the organism in Eukaryota, Metazoa, Chordata, Amphibia, Anura, Pelobatidae. The record is from the annotation of a GenBank genome assembly.